This is a non-coding RNA of Meleagris gallopavo (turkey), 593 nucleotides long. The record is from RefSeq and is a predicted model, not a curated record. Lineage: Eukaryota; Metazoa; Chordata; Aves; Galliformes; Phasianidae.
UUAGAAUGUUAUGUAACGUUUACGUUGGGAAAGAAGUUCUAAAUGUCAUCAUCUAACCUAAAUAAUCAGAAAUCUCAGGCACCACUGCACUGUCUGCUGUUUUCUGAACUCUGGAACAUGCUGUCCAGAUUGGUCCAGAAAGUCCCCUUCUCUGGAGAGACUCAAAACCCAUCUGGAUGUGAUCCUGGGCAACGUGCACUAGCUCCUGCUCUGCCUUUGGAUCAUAGAAAUAACAGUUCAUAGAGACCAGGUGACACCACCUGGCAAGUACGGAGGCAUGGAAUAAACAUUUGUGACGCUAUGACAGCUAAAUUUCCUUGCUGGACAGAACAGUUUAUCGAAAUUUCCCUGUGCUCUGUAGGAUCCCAUUAAAGCAGCGUUAAUGAGAUGAAUAUCAGCUUCCUAUCCUCCCCAUGACGACUUAGCUGAUUUACGGACAUACCUACAGCAUGAGUGUUGGUGACUUUUAUGUCCAGAAGGAAUACAUACAGCUCCAAUGGAUGAAAAAAUAGUUUGAUAUUUGCAUUCCUACUUUCAACAAAUUACCCUCAGGAAAAGGCAUAAUGCCUUUAUUCCUUGGCUCAGAUCUUUAA